RNAcentral lists this ribosomal RNA (440 nucleotides) under uncultured bacterium. RNAcentral's name for it is "partial 16S ribosomal RNA". It matches the Rfam family "Bacterial small subunit ribosomal RNA", at positions 338 to 795 of the family's 1533-position model. The record is from RNAcentral.
CCUACGGGUGGCAGCAGUGGGGAAUAUUGCACAAUGGGGGAAACCCUGAUGCAGCGACGCCGCGUGAGUGAAGAAGUAACUCCUUAUUUAAAGCUCUAUCAGCAGGGAAGAAAAUGACGGUACCUGAGUGAGAAGCCCCGGCUAACUACGUGCCAGCAUCCGCUGUAAUACGUAGGGGGCAAGCGGUAUCCGGAUUUACUGGGUGUAAAGCGAGCGUAGACGGGAGUGCAAGUCUGGAGGGAAAGGCGGGGGCUCAACCCCCGGACUGCUGUGGAAACUGUACGGCUGGAGUGCAGGAGAGGUAAGUGGAAUGCCUAGUGUAGCGGUGAAAUGCGUAGAUAUCAGGAGGAACACCAGUGGCGAAGGCGGCUUACUGGACUGUAACUGACGUUGAGGCACGAAAGCAUGGGGAGCAAACAGGAUUAGAUACCCGUGUAGUC